Molecule: ribosomal RNA, 527 nt
Filed under: Bifidobacterium longum subsp. suillum
Lineage: Bacteria; Bacillati; Actinomycetota; Actinomycetes; Bifidobacteriales; Bifidobacteriaceae
Description: bacterial SSU rRNA
Rfam family: Bacterial small subunit ribosomal RNA
Source: RNAcentral
UGGUAAUGCCGGAUGCUCCAGUUGAUCGCAUGGUCUUCUGGGAAAGCUUUCGCGGUAUGGGAUGGGGUCGCGUCCUAUCAGCUUGACGGCGGGGUAACGGCCCACCGUGGCUUCGACGGGUAGCCGGCCUGAGAGGGCGACCGGCCACAUUGGGACUGAGAUACGGCCCAGACUCCUACGGGAGGCAGCAGUGGGGAAUAUUGCACAAUGGGCGCAAGCCUGAUGCAGCGACGCCGCGUGAGGGAUGGAGGCCUUCGGGUUGUAAACCUCUUUUAUCGGGGAGCAAGCGAGAGUGAGUUUACCCGUUGAAUAAGCACCGGCUAACUACGUGCCAGCAGCCGCGGUAAUACGUAGGGUGCAAGCGUUAUCCGGAAUUAUUGGGCGUAAAGGGCUCGUAGGCGGUUCGUCGCGUCCGGUGUGAAAGUCCAUCGCUUAACGGUGGAUCCGCGCCGGGUACGGGCGGGCUUGAGUGCGGUAGGGGAGACUGGAAUUCCCGGUGUAACGGUGGAAUGUGUAGAUAUCGGGAA